This 75-nucleotide transfer RNA is filed under the name Chloroflexota bacterium. RNAcentral's name for it is "Chloroflexi bacterium (groundwater metagenome) tRNA-Glu". It matches the Rfam family "tRNA". From Rfam's summary of the family: Transfer RNA (tRNA) molecules are approximately 80 nucleotides in length. Their secondary structure includes four short double-helical elements and three loops (D, anti-codon, and T loops). Further hydrogen bonds mediate the characteristic L-shaped molecular structure. tRNAs have two regions of fundamental functional importance: the anti-codon, which is responsible for specific mRNA codon recognition, and the 3' end, to which the tRNAs corresponding amino acid is attached (by aminoacyl-tRNA synthetases). tRNAs cope with the degeneracy of the genetic code in two manners: having more than one tRNA (with a specific anti-codon) for a particular amino acid; and 'wobble' base-pairing, i.e. permitting non-standard base-pairing at the 3rd anti-codon position. Lineage: Bacteria; Bacillati; Chloroflexota. The record is from RNAcentral.
GCGGCGUUAGACUUGUCUGGAGUGGUCGCUAGGUUUUCAACCUGGAAGUCGCGAGUUCAAAUCUCGCACGCCGCA